AACGAACGCUGGCGGCAUGCCUAACACAUGCAAGUCGAACGAGCCCUUCGGGUCUUGUGUCGUAUGGGUUCGUAACGCGUGGGAACCUUCCCUUAGGUUCGGCAUACCUCCCCGAAAGGGGUGCUAAUACCGGAUAAUGUCUUCUGCCCAAGGAUUUAUCGCCUUUGGAUGUUCCCUCGUUGGAUUAGCUUGUUGGUAGGGUAAAAGCUUACCACGGCGCCGAUCCAUAGCUGGUUUGAGAGGAUGAUCAGCCACACUGGGACUAAGACGCGGCCGAGACUCCUACGGGAGGCAGCAGUGGGGAAUAUUGGACAAUGGGCGAAAGCAUGAUCCAGCAAUGCCGCGUGAGUGAUGAAGGCCGUAGGGUUGUAAAGCGCUAGUAACCGGGAUGAUAAUGACGGUACCGGGAGAAUAAGCUCCGGCUAACUCCGUG
Molecule: ribosomal RNA, 433 nt
Filed under: uncultured bacterium
Lineage: Bacteria
Description: partial 16S ribosomal RNA
Rfam family: Bacterial small subunit ribosomal RNA
Source: RNAcentral